GAUGGACGCUAGCUACAGGCUUAACACAUGCAAGUCGAGGGGAAACGAUAUUGGAAGCUUGCUUCCGAUAGGCGUCGACCGGCGCACGGGUGAGUAACGCGUAUCCAACCUGCCCACCACUUGGGGAUAACCUUGCGAAAGUAAGACUAAUACCCAAUGAUAUCUCUAGAAGACAUCUGAAGGAGAUUAAAGAUUCAUCGGUGAUGGAUGGGGAUGCGUCUGAUUAGCUUGUUGGCGGGGUAACGGCCCACCAAGGCGACGAUCAGUAGGGGUUCUGAGGGGAAGGUCCCCCACAUUGGGACUGAGACACGGUCCAAACGCCUACGGGAGGCAGCAGUGAGGAAUAUUGGUCAAUGGGCGAGAGCCUGAACCAGCCAAGUAGCGUGCAGGAUGACGGCCCUAUGGGUUGUAAACUGCUUUUAUAAGGGAAUAAAGUGAGUCUCGUGAGACUUUUUGCAUGUACCUUAUGAAUAAGGACCGGCUAAUUCCGUGCCAGCCGCCGCCGUAA
This 508-nucleotide ribosomal RNA is filed under the name uncultured bacterium. RNAcentral's name for it is "partial 16S ribosomal RNA". It matches the Rfam family "Bacterial small subunit ribosomal RNA", at positions 28 to 523 of the family's 1533-position model. The record is from RNAcentral.